UCCCGGGGCUGUUUAGGGCUGCAGCUGGGACAAAUCACCUCAAUCAGCUCCAAUCAGCUCCCCAUAAAGCUCUCACUUGUCGGGCUGUGGGGGAGAGUUUGGGCUUUGUGCUCUGAGCUACGCAAGUCUCUGCGGUCCUGGAUACGGAUGAUGCUUUCUGCUGGUGUUGGAGGGAAGCAGAACAAAAUGUGGGUUCUCCAUGUUUGUAAGGGUUCUGGCGGGCACAGCAUUCAAACAGUUUUGGGAUGACGAGUCACAUAAAUAUUGCCUCCAUAUUUUUGAUGUACUGCAGUACUGACCUCUCACUCCAGGAUGGUUGGCAGCUGUGCAGCCCUGUGUUUGUGGGUGUCUGGCACAGGCACAAAGGAACUUGAAGACUUGCUCCAGAAUUCAUCAGGUAUUGAAGAAAGGAAAUUCUUAACUGAAAAUUGCUUUCCACUUCAUUUUUCCUUGCCAGGAAAGGCUGACUUCCCACAGGCGCUGUAAUUCACCACAGGCCCUCCAAGGAUGCCAGUUUUACUGAAAAUUCAAUCUCUUUACUACAAUAGAAGGCCAGCUGAGCUGCCAUCCACAGCAGCACUCAACUAACCCAGUGCCAAUAGUGUGUGAUUCAUUGAUUAUCAUCAAAUGAACUUUCACUUCUAACUUCAGAAAAGAAUUAGACAGAGAUGGAACUCACUGUAAAGGCAGCUGAGCAGACAUAGUUGAAAUGAUGAAAAGGAAUGAUUACACCUCUCAGCUGUACCAAGAAACACUUGGGCCUAUGCUGUUUUUACUUAAAUAUUAUUUAGACUUCUGCAAUUUUGUUUACAGCAUAUCUCAGCAUGAGGUGCCAUAUGGCAGUAGAGGAGUGGGUGCUAAUAAGAGCACAUGUGAGACAACUGUGUCUCUGUGUCCCCCUUCCCAGCUAUCCCAGGAGCACUCUGAGUUGAGACUUUAGCCUGCAGGCAACUGAAGUUUGCUCAAGACUUUGUCUGGCUUCCACUCAGGUGUUUGCAUGGCCAUCUGACACAUUAAUAAAUGAAUGAGCAUUAAGAUGGUUCCCAGCUGUGUUUUCCAGGCAGAUGCAUCACCAGGAUGCUUUGUGGUAGUGCUGAUCACUGCAGAGCACCUGGAGGCUUUGGAGCAGGGAUUGUCCCUGCAGGUAAGGGGUCUGCCUGCACCCAGCCCCUCAGCCCUGCUUAGGUGACACAGCCAUGGGAUGGGCUGCUGGAACUGCACCCUGACAGGGCAGCUGGGCAUGGGGAAGGCUGGGACACUCUGUCCUGUCCCUCCUGCAGCACAGCAACAGCACUGGCCUUUGCUGCUGUUGGAUUUCCCAUUUCAGCCAGCUUAGUGGCUGUGCCCAUACUUCGCUUUCUGCUCUGCCAGGUAUUGCACACGUGUGUGUGUGUUUAUCUGAGAUACUCCACACACCAGCCUAAGGUGAGCUCUGUGACCUCUGUGUUUGCCGUGGCUUGGAACAUUAUCUGUUAAUAAUUUUAAUCCUGCUGGAGGUUUAGCUGGGUGCCUUCCUCACACACACAAAUGAUGAAAAUAUUUCACCAUUUUUCAAGGAAGAGUUCAAAAUGGAGAUAAAUCAACAUGCAAUGGAAGGGAUAUUGAUUCAUUUCCUCACCUUUGGAAUGAAUACCUCCCCCCCAGCAAAAAGCUAUGAAAGGGAAGCCAUUGUUUGUCUGAAACAAACAAGGCUCAAUAAAUCUUAAUUCUGCUAAAAGAUAGUGCUGAGACCAGAAAAAUACAGCUCAGCAUUACUGGAACCAAACAUGAGAUUAUCUUUCUCUUUUACCAUUGUACUUGAUCUACUACUUGGGCUGUGUUUUUAAUGAAGAAUUACUUAAGUGUGGAACAAAAUUCUCAUUUUAAUAGUAAAACUGUAUUCUUAUUCUUCCAUUUAACCGGGGGAGUUCCACAUUAGUCUCAUUGAAUACCUGACUUUGACCUAUGGCAGUACCAGAAGUCAGAGAGUGCUUUAAGAGCUUCCAGCAGGGUAUCUCUGGUCCAAGCAGUCUGGCAGGGCUGUAAAGCACCAAGUGCUGAACUAUGGGCACUGGUUCUGCUGAACACCAAGGCCUGUCUCAGGUGCUUGGUGCUCAGGGAAUGUGCCAGUAACUCCCAGAUUUGGGCCUCUAGCUCAUGCUGGACAUAUUUCCUCUGAAUAUUUUAUACAGCCCUUUUAAAAUGUAUUCAUUUUGCACAAAUUCCUCUUGUAUUUGCUUCCCAUCAAUAUUUAUGGAGGUGGCAGUGCUGCUGUGCAAAAUGUGCAUGGGAGGUAUUUUAAAUUACUCCCUGGGCCAGUCACACUGGCCCUACAGUGUCCCUCCCUCCCCAUCAGGCCAGGGCAGGAGGGGCUUUGUGGGAACAGCACAGCUCAUGGGGGAGCUGGGAGCCUCCUUGGGCAGCAGAAGUUUCUUGUCAAAUGCACAAAAAUGUUCUUAACAAGUCCACAUGCCCUGGCACACAGCACCAAGGCUGCCCCUCUGGCUGCAGCAUCAGCAUGCAGUGGCAAAGGAGUGACGUUCAGAACAUUGCACUCAGACAUGAGCUGGGACUGGGUGUGUUGGGAUCUGCCCCAAAAAGAGCCUUAGAAGCUUUCUUUCUUCUGUAACUGCUUUGUGACAGUGGCAAUGUAAAACUAUCUCAAGUGUGUCUCAGACACACAGAAAAAGUUUUGUUCAACCCAGUAAUUAUUGCUGCUACUCCAUCUUGUUAUCCAGGAAACUCCUUCCUAAUGGGCAGUCAUGGAAUGACCUGUGUGGGAAAAAUUGCUUUUUAUAUCAAGUCAAAAAUCUGUAGAG
Long non-coding RNA from Melospiza melodia melodia, 2798 nucleotides. RefSeq lists it as uncharacterized. The record is from RefSeq and is a predicted model, not a curated record. The transcript is spliced from 3 exons. NCBI's taxonomy places the organism in Eukaryota, Metazoa, Chordata, Aves, Passeriformes, Passerellidae.